AUUAAUAGAUAUAUUCUUUAAAUUUGAAGAAUUUGGCGGUGAUUUAGUCUUGUCAGAGGAACCUGUUUUUAAAUCGAUAAACCACGAAGAAUCUUACUUGGUUUUGUUUUUAGUUUGUAUACCAUCAUUAUUAGAUAAUUUUUAUAGAAUAAAUUAUUGAAUUAUAAAUUAGUAAUAUUAAUAAAAUUAGAUCAAGGUGCAGCUGAUAGUCAAGUUAAAAUGGGUUACAAUAGGUAUAAACCUAUUACGGAGGAUAAAAUGAAAUAAAUUUAGAAGGAGGAUUUGAUUGUAGAGAGAAUUUAAUAUGUUCUUUAGAUAUAAGCUCUAAAUCAU
RNAcentral lists this ribosomal RNA (333 nucleotides) under Benthochascon hemingi. RNAcentral's name for it is "partial small subunit ribosomal RNA". The record is from RNAcentral. Lineage: Eukaryota; Metazoa; Arthropoda; Malacostraca; Decapoda; Geryonidae.